CCCGCACAAGCGGUGGAGCAUGUGGUUUAAUUCGAUGAUACGCGAGGAACCUUACCUGGGCUCAAAUGUAUGUUGACGUAUUCUGAAAGGGAUACUUCUUCGGACAAUAUACAAGGUGCUGCAUGGUUGUCGUCAGCUCGUGCCGUGAGGUGUCGGGUUAAGUCCCAUAACGAGCGCAACCCCUAUCAUUAGUUGCCAUCAGGUCAAGCUGGGGACUCUAAUGAAACUGCCUACGCAAGUAGUGAGGAAGGCGGGGAUGACGUCAAAUCAGCACGGCCCUUACGUCCAGGGCUACACACGUGCUACAAUGGCCGAUACAGAGGGCAGCUACCUGGUGACAGGAUGCAAAUCUCCAAAGUCGGUCUCAGUUCGGAUCGGAGUCUGCAACCCGACUCCGUGAAGUUGGAUUCGCUAGUAAUCGCGCAUCAGCCAUGGCGCGGUGAAUACGUUCCCGGGCCUU
Molecule: ribosomal RNA, 460 nt
Filed under: uncultured Sphingobacteriales bacterium
Lineage: Bacteria; Pseudomonadati; Bacteroidota; Sphingobacteriia; Sphingobacteriales
Description: bacterial SSU rRNA
Rfam family: Bacterial small subunit ribosomal RNA
Source: RNAcentral